CCGAGUUUACAACUCCCAAACCCAUGUGAACAUACCUGUCUUGUUGCUUCGGCGGCGCCACGGCCCUCACAGGCUGGGGCCCGCCAGAGGACCCAAACAAAACUCUUUGCAUUUUGAAUACAGUAUUCUGAGUGAACAUGAUUAAAUAAAAUCA
This 154-nucleotide unclassified non-coding RNA is filed under the name uncultured fungus. RNAcentral's name for it is "sequence contains ITS1, 5.8S rRNA gene". Lineage: Eukaryota; Fungi. The record is from RNAcentral.